This 256-nucleotide ribosomal RNA is filed under the name uncultured bacterium. RNAcentral's name for it is "partial 16S ribosomal RNA". It matches the Rfam family "Bacterial small subunit ribosomal RNA", at positions 521 to 776 of the family's 1533-position model. The record is from RNAcentral.
UAAUACGUAGGUGGCGAGCGUUGUCCGGAUUUACUGGGCGUAAAGGAUGCGUAGGUGGAAACUUAAGUGGGAUGUGAAAUCCCCGGGCUCAACCCGGGAACUGCAUUCCAAACUGGGUUACUUGAGUGCAGGAGAGGAAAGCGGAAUUCCUAGUGUAGCGGUGAAAUGCGUAGAUAUUAGGAAGAACACCAGUGGCGAAGGCGGCUUUCUGGACUGUAACUGACACUGAGGCAUGAAAGCGUGGGGAGCAAACAGG